RNAcentral lists this small RNA (1900 nucleotides) under Exaiptasia diaphana. Its description in RNAcentral is "uncharacterized LOC110254322". The record is from RNAcentral. Lineage: Eukaryota; Metazoa; Cnidaria; Anthozoa; Actiniaria; Aiptasiidae.
CUGAUCUGAAAAAGCUUGUUUCUUUAUUUAAGAGAAAGAGGUUGUCAUUCAAAUCAGUUCACCCUGCAGAGAAAGAGAUGAGCACUACGUUUGUAGAAUACANCAAACUGACAUCUGCGAUUACUGGCCACCAAUGUGUGCAUUCUCGGGCUACACGAAAACAACAUCUUCAUCGUCAANUCUUGUCUUUUUAGAAAUCUUAAUNCAUUGCGCAAGNAGAAGUCGGUCAUUAUAAUCCCUGGUUAUANUAAUAAUAGUUGCCUGACAGAAUUAAGUUUCUCUUGAGAAGCCGUUUGUAUUGGGCAAUUACAAGAAUNGUACUAACANAAGAACACUGAUUUGCAAGCAAUGGCAUCGACUCCAUACCCUUCUUUAACAGAGGAGGAAUUAGACGCUUUAGAAAAGUUAGACAAGAGUAUUAAAAUCCAUGAAGACGAUUAUGAUAAUAAGCAAACAGACGAGUCUGACGAUGAAGACAAAAGUGUCAACCUUACGGACGACGAAGAGAAUACUAUCACAGUUAAUGUUCCGCACUCCUUUCAUCCNUUCAAGCUUCCUGCAAUUCCAGAAUCCAGAGAAGCAGAUCCUGAGACUAACCCAUCACAAAGAAAGAUGAACGCUGGGUAUAUNAUCUACGAUGGCUCAGAGAUCAAGUAUGUCAGCGCUAAAGCAGUAGGACCAAUGGAUUCCGAACGGGGCACAUCNACAUUAUCAUCAGAAAAGGGCAGCAGCAUNAGNAGCCGAGCAUCUACCGCCACUCACACGUCUGAUAUUCCUGUGAAUUUUUACCUAAGCGCUGAGGAGUUACUGGAUUGUGAUUACUUAAAUAGAAACCGACGAUUUUCNGUUACACACUACAACAGACUUCCAACAAAUUCUCAUUUCUCAGUAAGAGAAAAAAUAUACUUUUUCCUUGUUGGUUUGNCAUGCGUGAUUUCNUUNAGCGCAAUCUUUGUGAGCGUUUCNUAUUUCAAAACAUAUUUGGGAGAACAUGUUUUAUCGACAAUUGGUUCUUGUCAUCACGCCGCAGUUCUGGUUGCCAUGACAAUAGUCUUCUUCGGCAAAAAGACCUGGUUUUCAUUCGUUCCUACGGUCGUCACCAGUUUUCUUCUCAUGGCAGCCGUGANAGUUGUGUUGCCGAUGUUGGAAGUGUUUCAANUCUCGUACCCAGUCUACGUAGUUCAUGGCUUGGUUAUUGUGAAUGGUUUGUGUAGCGGGUUUGCUCUGGCAGCUACUGACAGGAUGGUGCUACUUUUUCCAGGAGGAAAGAGCUCUAUGUUGAUUGGUUGGGGAUCAGCUCUUGGCAACAUCCUGCCAGCACUAACUAAACUUGUCCUGAUAACCAUUGACUACCACGCCAGCAACACCAGCAUCUUUUCAUCCAAGAUCUCAAUGANAAGGCCUUAUCUAAAAUGGGCCAAAGCGCUUUUCAUUUUUCACUCUCCUUCAUAAGGCUUGGUUUCGUGGCAGGAGUUGUACUUUACAUCCGGGAACCAUAUUUUGUCUAUCAUAAUAUUUUCAUUCUUCUAUUGUUCCUCGCGAUUGCGGUGACUCAUGGAGGAUUAUUGGUUGGUAUGACAACUCAGAGCCAAUCAGACUCAGGAAUGCAGAACAAUGACUUCUGUCCAAUCAUAUCACAGCUCACAUGGCUGACCAUCCAACUGGGUUCAGUUGUUGGCGUAGCGGUGUCUUUUGUNCCUCUCACGUGAUCUGAUCUCACCAAUGGUCAAUCNGAAUUAAAAUCACGUGAUCUUGUAAGGUACCAUCCACUUGGCAAAGCAGCAAAGCACAACAUUCACUUGNCAUGUACAUUAACAAUAGUAAAGCCAUGCGCGCAGAAAAGUGACGUUAUUAGAUAUUANUAAAAUGAAAAUGCAUAAUAAUAAAAUGAAAAUGAAGA